AAAAAUUUGGAUUCCUGGAUCCUACCUCAGACUGCUGAGUCAGAAACUUCAAGGAUGAAUUCCAGGAAUCUGCAUUUUU
RNAcentral lists this microRNA precursor (79 nucleotides) under Tursiops truncatus (common bottlenose dolphin). Its description in RNAcentral is "miRNA (ENSTTRG00000022299.1)". The record is from RNAcentral. Lineage: Eukaryota; Metazoa; Chordata; Mammalia; Artiodactyla; Delphinidae.